This 402-nucleotide ribosomal RNA is filed under the name uncultured Agrobacterium sp. RNAcentral describes it as "bacterial SSU rRNA". It matches the Rfam family "Bacterial small subunit ribosomal RNA", at positions 355 to 774 of the family's 1533-position model. The record is from RNAcentral. Lineage: Bacteria; Pseudomonadati; Pseudomonadota; Alphaproteobacteria; Hyphomicrobiales; Rhizobiaceae.
UGGGGAAUAUUGGACAAUGGGCGCAAGCCUGAUCCAGCCAUGCCGCGUGAGUGAUGAAGGCCCUAGGGUUGUAAAGCUCUUUCAACGGUGAAGAUAAUGACGGUAACCGUAGAAGAAGCCCCGGCUAACUUCGUGCCAGCAGCCGCGGUAAUACGAAGGGGGCUAGCGUUGUUCGGAAUUACUGGGCGUAAAGCGCACGUAGGCGGAUAUUUAAGUCAGGGGUGAAAUCCCGGGGCUCAACCUCGGAACUGCCUUUGAUACUGGGUAUCUUGAGUAUGGAAGAGGUAAGUGGAAUUGCGAGUGUAGAGGUGAAAUUCGUAGAUAUUCGCAGGAACACCAGUGGCGAAGGCGGCUUACUGGUCCAUUACUGACGCUGAGGUGCGAAAGCGUGGGGAGCAAACA